UUCUCUAUCCACAAGAACUCAUUCAACAAUAAUGAUUGAACCAAAAAUACCUCGAGCUGAACAACUAAAGAAUUGGGCCAAAGAACAUUGUGACACACUUAACGCAUUGAAAAGAUUAAGAGACUACAAUAAUGCUACAAUCAAUCUUGCAAAUCCAGAAAAAGAAGAAAUUUCAAAAAUAGCAACUGUUCCGGCAUUGAUUAAUCCUGCUCAACCUGCUUGGGUUAAGGGCAAAAUCAGCAUCAACAUUGACAACAAAAAUACUUGGUAUAUAGGAUGUAGCCACUGUUUAAAAAAGGUUUAUGCAGAAAGUGACGAACUAUUUAAUUGCAUGCAUUGUGUUGAAAAGACAGCAGUUGGCACUCCAAGGUGCAAAAUGGAUGUGGAAAUUGUUGAUGAGACUGGGCACAUUGUGGCAUCAGUAUUCGGACUACCUGCAGAAACAUUGUUGUUACGUUCAAGCAAACAAGUUAUGGAACUAGAACAAGAGGUAUGCCAGGAUCAAAAAGGUUCAUGGAUAUGAGUCGGGCAAUGCCUCAACAACAAUCUUCUUCAUCAACACAUGAGCGAUUGUUGAAUGAUGCACCACUUGAAGACAUUUUUACAAAUCAAGAACAAACUCAGGAUAAUGAGACAUUUCAAGAGCAAACUCAGUACAGUGAAACACCACAAGAGCAAAAUGAAGAUUUAAUUUGCAAUCUUCAUCUAAAAAGAAAAUAAGAACUACGUGGGAAGUUGAUGUGAUUAGAAAGUUUACAUUAUUAUAUUUAUUGAUUGACAUGUACAAAAAGUUUGAAUAAAUCGAUACAUUAAUUUAUUUCCCUUUAUUGACAGAUGGAGAAGGAUUUGUAAAGAAGAAAAAAUUGAAAGUUAAAGAAGUUUGGACACUCCCAUUGGGUGAACAAAUCAUAGUCCCAUUUGACAACUUCGAUACACCAUUCACUGAAGCAGCUGGAUCAAGUGCUAGGUCAGGCUGUAAAGUCAGGGUAUUCGAACAUAUGUGUUUGAUGUGCGGAGUUAAUUGCGGAAUUGUAAGGAAUUAAUUUGCA
This is an RNA transcript of Ipomoea triloba (trilobed morning glory), 1049 nucleotides long. RefSeq lists it as uncharacterized. NCBI's taxonomy places the organism in Eukaryota, Viridiplantae, Streptophyta, Magnoliopsida, Solanales, Convolvulaceae. The record is from RefSeq and is a predicted model, not a curated record. The transcript has 6 exons.